UGCAGUCGAGCGAACAGAUAGGAGCUUGCUCCUUUGAAGUUAGCGGCGGACGGGUGAGUAACACGUGGGUAACCUACCUAUAAGACUGGGAUAACUUCGGGAAACCGGAGCUAAUACCGGAUAACAUUUAGAACCGCAUGGUUCUAAAGUGAAAGAUGGUUUUGCUAUCACUUAUAGAUGGACCCGCGCCGUAUUAGCUAGUUGGUAAGGUAACGGCUUACCAAGGCGACGAUACGUAGCCGACCUGAGAGGGUGAUCGGCCACACUGGAACUGAGACACGGUCCAGACUCCUACGGGAGGCAGCAGUAGGGAAUCUUCCGCAAUGGGCGAAAGCCUGACGGAGCAACGCCGCGUGAGUGAUGAAGGGUUUCGGCUCGUAAAACUCUGUUAUUAGGGAAGAACAAAUGUGUAAGUAACUGUGCACAUCUUGACGGUACCUAAUCAGAAAGCCACGGCUAACUACGUGCCAGCAGCCGCGGUAAUACGUAGGUGGCAAGCGUUAUCCGGAAUUAUUGGGCGUAAAGCGCGCGUAGGCGGUUUCUUAAGUCUGAUGUGAAAGCCCACGGCUCAACCGUGGAGGGUCAUUGGAAACUGGGAAACUUGAGUGCAGAAGAGGAAAGUGGAAUUCCAUGUGUAGCGGUGAAAUGCGCAGAGAUAUGGAGGAACACCAGUGGCGAAGGCGACUUUCUGGUCUGUAACUGACGCUGAUGUGCGAAAGCGUGGGAUCAAACAGGAUUAGAUACCCUGGUAGUCCACGCCGUAACGAUGAGUGCUAAGUGUUA
Molecule: ribosomal RNA, 783 nt
Filed under: Staphylococcus sp. Y35-MSE-E14
Lineage: Bacteria; Bacillati; Bacillota; Bacilli; Caryophanales; Staphylococcaceae
Description: bacterial SSU rRNA
Rfam family: Bacterial small subunit ribosomal RNA
Source: RNAcentral